ACCUGGUAUUGCAGUACCUCCAGGAACGG
This 29-nucleotide non-coding RNA is filed under the name Cricetulus griseus (Chinese hamster). RNAcentral also lists the same sequence under 1 other name. The record is from RNAcentral. Lineage: Eukaryota; Metazoa; Chordata; Mammalia; Rodentia; Cricetidae.